UGUAAAUAAAUAACAAAAACAGGAAUUUCUGAAUUUCCGAUAAGGAACAUUAAUCGCAGCUGAAGUAUUCCGUAUUCAACCGUAGGAAGUUUAAAUAUUGUCGGCGUAGCACCAACUUAGAAUUCGGAAGUCGGGACUUCCGAACCGAACUUUCUUCCGAAGUUUUAUCUGUCAAACUAAUUGAUGCGUUGUUUAGCGCAUCUUUAGGCGAAUCUAGCGCACUAUUUCCGAAGUUGGGAAAGUUGCCUAUAUCUGGAGAAAAAUCCAACUUCGGUAUAAAAAGCGGUCUAGCUUUUAUCCGGAUAGACAAUAAAAACACGCAGGAAAACAUAAAAAUAUGUCUAAUAUUUCGACAACCUUGGCUUCACCCAUGUGGUGCGGGAAAUUAACAACGGAAUCAUCGCUGCCACUAUCAUCGAAACCGGGUGCUAUAAUCACAAAAGCUACCGGCGUAUUACUAUUCCCACAAGCAAUAUAUGUUGCUGCCACUCUGUAUGAAUGUAAUAUAAAUCCCGAAUAUUCACUACCGAUCAAGCUACCGAUGCACGUUCAUCCUUUGCCAGCGCUAUCAUACGAUCCUGGGAAAUCUCCAGCUAAUUAGCAGCCGCACGAACUCGGACCAUCAACCCUCCGUCAUAUCCCAUCGACGACCAUUGAACCGGAGUCCCAUGCCUAAUCUUUUCGGAAGUGCUCCGGAACGAUACAUCGCCGAGUAUACCUUGUCGAGUAAUGCGGAACCGUUUGUCUAAAUGCAACAACUGAAAUUGAUGCUUCUUAUUGUCGUCCCAGACCAAAAGCACCCUCUCAACAAC
Molecule: RNA transcript, 812 nt
Organism: Armigeres subalbatus
Lineage: Eukaryota; Metazoa; Arthropoda; Insecta; Diptera; Culicidae
Exons: 2
Source: RefSeq, a predicted model, not a curated record